GAAGUCCCAUCACAUGUGACUUUGUAUAUAUCGCACAUUCUAAUAACAAUUUAACUGUGAAAUGUAACUGCAAAACUUAUCAGACUCAAACAAUGUGUUCUAAAAACUUGAGGGUGUAAGCAGGAAGAGGGAUCAUGGUCAGCCUUACUCACCGCUCUGUUUUUUUCUGAUUAUCUCUGUUAUGCAUUCCUAAAUGAUGUUGCAUAUUACCACAGUGUAUUGCAUGCACAGCAUGUCCAAUGCGGCGGAUUUAUACAAACAUCACUUAACACUUUAAUUGAGGCUCAAUUUAUAUCAAAUAUUAUUUUUUUUCAGCAGCCUGAAAGCAUGUUAUCUCCAUUUUUAUUGAAGAAAAUUAUUUCUAGCAUGAUCUGUUCUUUUCAAGUCACCAAUGCAUUUUAACCCCUUUUUAAACCCGUUUUUCCUUUUUCCGUUAAUCAGCUAUCAUUACUUUCUUCAAGCUGUGUUCUAAAACUCAACAUAUGAUGCCGGUAGGAUUCACUAUCUUGUAAGUGUUUCUGAAAUUCAGAUUUGAUAUGAUCCCAUCAGGUGAUACCACCAGCAGUUAAUAGAGUCAUUCUUAGUGUAGCAUUGGAACCAUUGGAGCAUGGUUCCCUUGGGUUCGUGCCCUGUGUCUACGACGUUCUCCUGUUAGCGUCAGCUCCUCCUCAAGCUCCAGCCAGUUUGGCAGGAGAAAGGGCAGGUUGUCUGGGCUGCCUGUGGGCUUCCUGGCCAGUGGGACGGUGUGAGCUGCUCUCAGGCUGAAGAAGAAGGUGAGCUUAACCCACCAUUCCCUCAGCUCCCACAGUGGUUUGGGUCUUGCUGUCCUCUAGGCAGCUGCUCAGUUGCAUGAAUGAUUAAUGAUGGGAAUUAAUGAGGCUAAUUAAGGUUAAUGAUGAGCAUGGAAAAAGUCAUCUUUUUUUAAUUCUAAAAAGCUAUAUGUAGUCACCUAUUCAUAACUCAUGCAUUUUCUUUCAAAUAAUUUUCUUUAUAUAUGAGAAGAAACACAUCCCAUUCAUGUUAUGAUAGAGUUUGCGUAGUUUUAGAUCAGAAGAAAUUCUUUAAAAUUUGUAAAACAGAAAACAUCUAACACCAGGUAUCAGAUUGUGUAUACAGGCCACAAUUUGGCAGACAUUUAACGCAUAUGUCUAAUUUUCAAUUGGAACUUGAUUUCCUUUGGCUUCCAGGAAACCUUAGUGUAUGUUAAAAUUAACUCUGCUGAUUGGAGGCAAUAGCGUCAUUGCAUGUUUGCAUGACUUGAUAAACAACUGCGUAUGCACCAGAAGAAUUUCGUUGACUGUGUUGAGCCUAGUGAGGCUACGCAUCUGUACUGAUCCAUCAAUGGAAAAGAAAUUUUUCAGAGCUGCUGUUGGUCUAAAACAACAAGCACGGGACAGCUGCCAGGGUCCCGUUGCUGGGCAGAUCACCAGGUUUUGGACCGUCAUUGAGGGCUAUUGCUCCGACCACCAGCUGCUCACACAGCAAAAACAUAUGGGGGCAGCAGAUUCACCCUCCCUCCCUUCCUUCCUUCGUUCCUUCCUUCCUGCCUGCCUUCCUUCCUUCCUCCAAUUCAAGACAACUGUCUUCUUGAUGACUCUGUAGGAUUACAGCUGACCUUGCUACAGGACAGCAUGGGGCUUCAUGAGCCACAUUGCCACUUUUUAUCAUCCCUCCGUCUUCUUCAGCAUCUUCUCCAGCAUCUUCUCACAAACCUUGACAGUGCCACCACUGUUUCAUUUUUGUUAAUAAUCUUGCUUAUCUGAAAUAAACUGACAGUUUAUUGCAACUUCAAAAAAAUAACUUUCCUUUAUAUUUGUUCCCAGUUCUUUAUUUUUUCUUUCAGCUUCAGUGGCCAGCUUCUUUGGCUAAUGGAUGAUACAGCACAUUGCCUGAAUCCAUUAGAUAUCUGGGAAUGCCAUUUCCCUAGAUUACCUCACCAGCCCAACUCUUUGACUCCACUGGAAGCUAUCCUAAGCGGGGAAAUGAUGGAUGAGCCAGCCAGCCUGCAGGGUGAGUCACCACAGGAAGGUGGACUGUCAUCUGGCAAUUACGAUGAAGAAGGAAGUGUGCCAGCAAAACAGGUGAUCUGAGCAAUGCAUUGCACCCCACAUGCCAAAAUGGAUAUUGCACAAUGCUGUGCUGCGACAGAGAAGUGUGGAAAAAAGCACAAGCAUGCAUUUCCAAAAUGGCCUUCAAAGUAGGAAUUAAAUAAAAAACAAAACUCAGCCUGUUUCUUUUCAUAGACAACUUUGAUACCAGGGGUGAAUAUAACAAUCAAGAAAUGGAUAGAGCAGUGGUAUAGUACGACCCUCUCAGAAUUUUUCAUCAGUUUUAUUUGGGUGUCUUUUCCUGUGCAUGGAGGGUUGAAAGUAGGAUCACAAACACAAUUUAUGAGUGUGCAACAAUUAUGCUAUUUGUUGGAUUGUACAUGCAAUAAAUGGCUGGGCCUAACAUGCUAUUAGCCUACGCACUGACGUCCUCAUCACCUCUGAUGCAGGUACUCACUGGCUUUCUGCUGGUCAGGCAGAUGGUAAUCAGAUGGGGAAGUGUCAUUCUCCAUUGCUGCUUGCAAUAGGCUGAUCUUGAGUUUUGCUGAGUUGCUAUCUUCUAUUUUGAUUUUUUUUUCUCAGGGUUUUAGAGGUUUUUCAGUUAAUAGUUUUUCCUUCAGUCCUUGAGUGACUGCUACUGACUCAAUAAUUUCAUUUCUGUCCUUGUUUCUGUUUUUUUUAUAAGUCUUGCUUGGUGUAAGUUUAUGUGCUGUCACUCAUAGCUUAGCAACCUUUUUUUUAGUAAAGCGGAGCUGGGGUCAUGUGGCCAACCUAGGCUUUGUGUUGAAAAAUGAGAGUGUGUGAAAGAUCUACCAAAAUGGUGGGACAGAGAUUCAUCUGUGCUUGUUGUCUGAUAUAUUUCUGAGCAUUUCGCUGGCUUAAAAAUGUGGACCUUGCCAGAUGGCAGAAAGACUCGGAGAAAUAGGUACGGACCACAAACAUCACCUGGAUUCAGAUGUGCUCUAUAACUGGUGAUAUCAGUGGUGGUCUUUGUAAUGCCAAUCAGAAAAUUCGGGGAAGGGUGCACUUGAAGGUGAAAAUGAAGCUGAAAACAAAACAGUGCUGCAUGAUAUUCUGACUUUGACCAUGCACAGGUCUAUAAGAAGAAAAAAAAACACUCUGAGAAUAAUUAAUCACUGGCAAAGGUUGCUCAGAGAGGUUUGGCAAUCUCCAUCCGUGGAGGUUUUCCAAACUUGACUGGAUAAAGCCCUGAGCAGCCUGGUCUGAGCUCAGCGUUGACCCUGCAAGGACUAGGGACCUCCUGAGUCCCCUUCCAGCUUGGAUCAUUCAGUGAUUCUGUGAUUUAAGUUGCUGUUAGAGCCAAGAGUAAGUGAGGUGGAGGUGGUAUUACAAAUGCUCAGCAUGACAUUUCCCGGUAUGGCUGAGUCUCUGUAAAACCUAGCUGCUGCCAUCCAUGUAAGGUGAUCCCAUCUCUCUCUGGGUCCUGUCCUGGUGUUCCUAGUCUCUCUCUUGAGCUAGUGCUGGCCCUUGUCCAACAUCUCUGUGAGCCGUUUCAGCUCACCAACCUGGCAGAAGCUGAUUAGUGUGCUUUUUUUUUUUUAAACUGGUUGGCUUUCUGCUGAUUUAGUUAGCCGAACUGUUUCAUGAAGGGACAGACGAGCACCGCAGCAUGAGGAGGAGGUGGGAACAUGUGGUUAAGACUGGAAGGAGUUACGGCUGGGCAAGGCCCUCUCGGUGGGAGUGAGCCACUGAAUUUGCCUUGCUGUCUCAUGAAACAAUGCGAUAUAUCUACAGCAGCUUCAAUACGGGCAUAACAACACAUUGGGUAAGCCCAAAAAGAAAGCAUCAUAAGAAAACAAAAACUCAGAAAUAAAAAUUCUUUAAUGCUAAGACCGAUGAAAAGCAUGGAAUUACAAAAAGGAACAAGAAAACAGACAAAUCAGUGAAAAAUCAUGUUCAAGGAAAGAUAAACAGAGAUAUAUUAAAGACCCAGCACUUGAAACUGAAACUCCUGCCAUGGUAGGAAACCACAGAUCUUGUUUACCGAGUUACAAAAAUCCUGUGCAGCUAGUUUAAACAGGAAAUGGGUUGAUCAGAAGCAAAGACAGGCAAAUGCGUACAACAGAGAUAAAAUAGAUGGGCAAAGCAUUUUAAAGAGGUCAGCAGCAAAAACUCAGCCUUACUUUGACAUGAGUUUCUGUGACAUGAGAUGACGUGAUUUCCAACAACAGGAGAUUGCCACUGGCACAGUAGUGAUAUCAGAAAAGCAAGUUGUAGUCCAGUAGGUAGCAGCAACAGUGCAAUGAAAGACAAUUUGAUUGUAGCAGAAAUGCUACGAGUCCACAAUGUCACUGCAGAAAUAAUUUUUUUUAAGUUGUUGAAUAAAAUCUGGGGAAAAAACAACAACAACAAACCCCAAACUUCUGGUGGGAGGGCACACGGAGUUGUUAAAAUAUUUAACAAUGAGACUGGAAAAGUGUUUCUCUGCCUUAUGCUAUAGGGGAGGUCAUUUGCAGUGGAAUGCCGCACAAGAUGACACAGAUGAUGGAUGCAGAAUUGGAAUAGCACAGCCUCUGGACUCAGGCCCAGAAAACUGGAUAUUUGCACAAAAGAGCAUCCUGAAAGAACACACACAAUGAUGGGCUUUGCUUAUCACCAGUUUCAUUGAUUUUAUUCUUAAGAUUACUUGAGAGCAGCCUCAGGAAUGCCUUGUAGAACUAUAGCACUCAGCUCGUUCUCCAUCAUCACGGUCUUGCAGAGGGAUGGAUGGCUGCAUCUGGGAAUGCAUCUAAGUAAUAGGCUGGUUCCCCUGGAACACUGGCGUAAAAUGAGG
Columba livia (rock pigeon) is the source of this 4842-nucleotide long non-coding RNA. RefSeq lists it as uncharacterized. The record is from RefSeq and is a predicted model, not a curated record. NCBI's taxonomy places the organism in Eukaryota, Metazoa, Chordata, Aves, Columbiformes, Columbidae. The transcript is spliced from 2 exons.